Molecule: long non-coding RNA, 1507 nt
Filed under: Pomacea canaliculata
Lineage: Eukaryota; Metazoa; Mollusca; Gastropoda; Architaenioglossa; Ampullariidae
Description: uncharacterized LOC112569386, transcript variant X2
Source: RNAcentral
UUCUGAUUGGACAAUCUGAAGUCUUUGCCGGGUCUCUCUCUCAGCUCUCAUGAGCUCGAGUGAAUAAUUCGCAUCCUGUCUUCCAAACACCAGGGACUGUUCCCGUGUGACUGAUUACUGUCUAGGAGUGUUUGUGGUUAGAACGACAGCACUUACAAUUUUCUAAAAAGACGCUUUUCCUACUAAACAUUAAUUGUUUAAAAGUAAUUGCUUGUAUAUAUAUAUUUAGCUUUGAGCUUAUUCAUUUUCUUCUUCAAGCCACUAAAUGGUGUUGAGUGGCGAUACUUUAGGAUUUUAUAUACGAAGAUAUAAGAACAAUAUAUCGAAGGUGGAACUGAAGUUGUGUCAUGCAGUGUUUGUGGGACUGACAGUUGAUGAUGACUCAAAAGGAAGAUCAGUUCCGUUUCACCCCUGAACUCACGUAACUCAGUCUGCGGAUGAUUUUUUGCGACUUUUAUUUUUUUCGACGAACACCAGGACCACAGCCACUGCAGACUUUGUGUUUGAUGUCCUGCCAGUCAGUCUGACAUUCCUGUCAGUCUAUCGCAUCAGAUAUCAUCAUGUACAGGCUCAUCGCAUCUUGUCUCAUAUGUUAUCUCUUGAUUCAACGAUCGGGUCAGCUGACAGCGCGUUUGGCUAACGGGACGUGGUGGGCGGGACGCCUUGAGUUGUUCUACAACGGACAAGGUGUGGAGUACAGUGUGUGACGAUGAAUUUGAUAAAAACGACGCUCGGGUGGCCUGUAGGAUGCUGGGAUUUGACAGUCCCGAAGCACUAUUUGUGGGCUCUGCGAUGUACGGAGCAGGUUCAGGAAACAUUUUGCUGGACGACUUGGGGUGUACGGGUACAGAAACCAGUUUUGGCACAGUGUAGGCACGCAGGGUACAAUCAGCACAACUGCAAACACGGAGAGGAUGUCGGUGUCGUCUGCACCGUCCUAUCUAACCAACUUCGUCUAGCGGGUACUCGGCGCACAAGACAGGAUAUGGGUCGUGUUGAAAUUUAUUUAGAGGUUCAUGGACUACUCCUUGUGUCAGUAACUUCAGCAAUAGCGUUGCAAAAGUCUUGUGCAGGCAGAUGAACUUUCCCUCAAAAGCAGCAACUGUUGUGGAGCCAUCAUCCUUUGGACCGAGGACAGGACGUUUCCUUGUCGCUGGUAUUGUGUGCACCGGGCAUGGAGUCCAACAUACUGGGCUGUUUCCAGACAGUUACUGGCUUCAAUGAUACCUGCUUUUCACCUGAGCUUGGUGUAAUCUGCAGUGAUUGUAAAUUUAUUAUAAUUAAUUCUGCUAUUAAUUAUAUAACAUAGAUCAUCAUUAGACAAAAGAAAAGGUAAAAAAAUAUAUUUAAGAAAGAGUAUAUUGUUCUCUUUUCGCAGAAUCGCUUUCUGUCAAUGAUUCUUUGUCUGUAAGUAUCGUUGUGCAUGAGUAUCUCAGUGUUUCAGCCCUUUACUUGCUAAAACUGACAAUAUCAGAUGCCUUUAAGUAGUGUUACGUAUAUUGAAUAC